AGAGUUUGAUCCUGGCUCAGAACGAACGCUGGCGGCGCGUCUUAAGCAUGCAAGUCGGGCGGCAGCCGCAGCGAUGCGGCGAGAGCGGCGGACGGGUGAGUAACGCGUGGACAACCGACCCUCCGGACGGGGAUAGCCGCGGGAAACUGCGGAUAAUACCGGAUACGACCCGGGGAGCGAAGGCGCUCCGGGGGAAAGCCGCUGCGGCGGCGCCGGGGGACGGGUCUGCGUCCCAUCAGCUAGACGGCGGGGUGGAGGCCCACCGUGGCGACGACGGGUAGCCGGCCUGAGAGGGUGGACGGCCACAUUGGGACUGAGAACGGCCCAGACUCCUACGGGAGGCAGCAGCUAAGGAUCUUCCGCAAUGGGCGAAAGCCUGACGGAGCGACGCCGCGUGGACGAUGGAGGCCGUGAGGUCGUAAAGUCCUUUUCCGUGGGGUGAAGAGCCGUGCCAGGGAAUGGGUGCGGGGUGACGUGACCACGGGAAUAAGCCCCGGCUAACUACGUGCCAGCCGCCGCGGUAAUAC
This 527-nucleotide ribosomal RNA is filed under the name uncultured bacterium. RNAcentral's name for it is "bacterial SSU rRNA". It matches the Rfam family "Bacterial small subunit ribosomal RNA", at positions 8 to 526 of the family's 1533-position model. The record is from RNAcentral.